GGAAGUGGUGGAGGAUCAGUGCCCCAUAGAUUUGGGUUCGAAUUCUUUUCUGUGGAGCUUCUGAAAGAAUAUAAACAGCGACACAAAGAAUCAACAACGGUUCAUUAGAUAACUGUAUGUCUCACGGUUUGGUCACAGAAAGAGAAGGAUGAGCUCGAAGAGUUGUUCUUCUUCUUCUUCUUCUCCGCUGGCGAUGUUUCUGACGUCAGCUUGGAGAUUUUAACUCCGCCAUUUAAUCUCUUCCUCAAUAAUAAAUUCUCACUAUAUUCUUUCAAACAAGAUGUACGUGAAAACAAGAUAAAGAUGCACAAGGAAGACCAUAUAUAGCACAAGAACAACGAUGGCCUGUGAGAGGCUUGUCUGCCGGCAUGGUGUCGGUGCUGGUCGAGACAUUUCUCCACGCGUGAUAUGAUGGGAGGUCCGUGGCAAGUGGUCUUGGGAAAGUAUGCAUAUUAUAUACGUUGCAGGUGGAGGCAAGUGUGCACAUGUUUGACGUGAGGAUUUCAUGCAGCCAUGGAAAGCAAGUACCCGUGAGCUCUGAGCUCAUCCGUGACUUCAGCACCAACUUCCUUUGGUGGUGAAGGAAGAAGCGAGAAGAAAGAAAAGAGAGACUGAGAGAGAGAGAGAGAGAGAGAGAGAGGGGGGUGGAAGAGGGCGAUAAAAGAAAAAGGGAAAGAAGGAUGGAAGAAAGAUUGGCAAGUUGAUCGUAGAUGCUUGUGAGGCAGAGAGGAAGUGAUGGAAUAAAAUGGAUAUUAUGUUGACUAAAAAGUCAACUGAAAAAAAGCCAAUAAAAUUAUUAGGGAGAGAGAACUCGUAGAUAAGAACUUGUUGAAGUUCCAGUGGAAUGUCUUAUGCUUUGAAGCCUCUUAUUUGUAAUUGUACGGUAAAAUGAUUAUUGUAAUCAAUCAAUUCAAUACAAUUUGAGGGUCAUAACACUGUAUUGGGUGUAGCCAACAUUGACGUCGAUGUACUCAUUGCCGACAUUAAAAGAAAUUGAUUUGGUUCCAACGCGGACAAUCGACACGAUUGUCAACGUGGACAUGUACGUGUCAAUCCAAUUGUCAUUCUCAAUACUCACAAAUGAAUUGACCAAAUGCAUUGUGACCGUUUAAAAUAAAAUAAAAUAAUAAUAAUAAUAAUAAUAAUAAUAAUAAUAAUAAUAAUAAUCAAACUCUCAUUUUUGUCCAUCUGAAAAAAUAAAACAAUCUACAUUAAAAAUUGUUUUGUUGCGUGAGACGAAUUAAGUCACGACAUCAUGAUUGUAUGCUUUGAGGUACACUAAGAUUCUCUCUCUCUCUCUCUCUCUCUCUCUCUCUCUUAUUGUUUGAUUUGGAAUUAUGUGAUGGAGUCGUAAUCAGGGAAAUGAUCUUCCUACAUGUACGAGUGGGAUAUCAAACAAAUUGACCGAAAUAUUCUUCUAUUAUCUAUCUAUAAAAAAAUCACCUUCCUUCAUGAUAUACAUUAAAUGACAAAAUGAUGGAGCCGUAGUGAGGUGGCUCACCUUUUUGGUGUUCCCUCGUUAAACACGUGCGUCCAUUCCCCAAAAAUAUCUUCCGCGAAGCAUCCAUGCUCGCUUUGCCUUUACACUCUGAUCAAUCUUCAUAAAGCUCCCAACACACAUCUAAUACAUGAAGCGAACACAUGAUUUAGGUUAGGUUGAUGAGUAACUUAGAAUAAUAAAUAACACUCCUUAUAAAUAUUCACAAUAAACCUCUCCAUGUUAAAGUUUAUGUUCCACUUAUCCGAAAAGUUUAUGUCCGAUAGAUUCGAGAGUAAAAGGUUAAAUUACUUUUGAUUAUUAUUUUUAUGUUACAGUAUCUAGAUGUGAUGUGAGCAUAAAAGAAGGUCAAAUUAUCUACAGUAGCAUCACUUAGCCUUGUCUCAUAAUUAAAUUAAAUUAAAAGAAUAUCAAAGAAUAUUUUAUUUUCUUUAUAUUUAAUAUUAUUAUUCUUUAUUUUAUAUAUUUACUAAUUUAAUCAUAAGAAAAAAAUGAGCAUCAAAGAGAUCUUGUGAAGAUAUUUAGAGUAUUUAGAAUGUUUGACCCAACUAAAUGCUUUUGAACCCUAAGAUGAAACUUCACCACGGUUGACUGGUCUCUUACAACCAAUCCAACGAAGAGAGAUACGAAUCCUGCAGUCUAAGAACCAAAACAGGACACCCAAGUUAAGAAGGACAAAGAGAGAGAGAGAGAGAGAGAGAGAGAGAGA
RNAcentral lists this long non-coding RNA (2207 nucleotides) under Musa acuminata (dwarf banana). Its description in RNAcentral is "long non-coding RNA (MACU_LNC005136)". The record is from RNAcentral. Lineage: Eukaryota; Viridiplantae; Streptophyta; Magnoliopsida; Zingiberales; Musaceae.